Long non-coding RNA from Dromaius novaehollandiae (emu), 1499 nucleotides. RefSeq lists it as uncharacterized. The transcript is spliced from 3 exons. The record is from RefSeq and is a predicted model, not a curated record. NCBI's taxonomy places the organism in Eukaryota, Metazoa, Chordata, Aves, Casuariiformes, Dromaiidae.
CGGGACUGCGGGGAGCCGUAGCUUUCGGCGCGGCAUGCCGGGAGCAGUAGUCUUCCGGCACUGGGCUUCCGGUGGGGCCUGUUUGUUCUGAGCGCGGCAUGCUGGGAGCGGUAGUCUUCCGGCACUGGGCUUCCGGGCCGCCCUUUUCGCGUGCACGGUAUGCUGGGAGGUGUAGUCUUCUCAGGCGGGGCUACUGGGUGACCAUGCUGCGCCUCUCGAGGUGGCCCCGCGGGGGGGGGCGGCGGCGGCGGCGGCAGGUCCCUGCCAGCGGGGUUCCCAGCAGGCGGCCGCGUGGCAGGCCAGGAGCUGUAGUGCCCGCUGGGUCUGUUCCUUACUGGACAUGUGUCACUCACGCCUGAGUCCCCACAGGUCACGGGGGACAGUGGAAUGCCCCUGUUUUUCCCCGGUACAGGGCAGGAAGUGUUUUCCAUCUCCGAUGGUGUUGCAAGACAACCUUGGAAGCUCAGAAAGAGUGUUCCUGCUGUUUAAACUAGGCAGAUGAGGAGAACACCCCCCCCCCCCAAUUUCCUGGGAGGAAAUAAUUCUUUAAUCAAGGCCAUGCUAGAAGUGCUAAAGCCUUAAAGAAAUAGUAAAUCAAAAUGUUUUGUUUUCUAUGUAGACGUUGCCGAUUUAGCAAAGGAAUUCGAGGUAUCCCCGAACUGAACUGUCCUCAUUAUAAUACCAGAAAAUCACGCCCAUAGGUCAGAAAGACCUGUGCCCGGGUGAAGACCCCUCCCCUGAGCAUGCGUAGUUUUAAAAUGGUGUGUAAGCAAUAUUAGAAUUGUAUGUAAAUCACUAACCAACCGGUGUAAGAGGGAAAGUUGCAAACCUUGCAACUUGUAUAAAUGCUACUUGGAAAGCCGGGGCGGGGGGGAAGUUGCGCUUGAUUUGUGGGGAAAACACCGAGCAGCCAGGCUUGCACAACUCUGAAAUAAAUAAGCAAAUGUCUCUCCUGAGCGUGUCAUUAUUGGCUUAGUGCACAGCGGGCAACGAAUCCGCUUUUCGGACAGCAGCGUGACCAGGCGCAGGGUUGUCCCCGGGGGCUGGGGCUGUCCCUCUUGGAAAUGGGGAGGGCGGGAAGAGUAGGAGGGGUGCUGCGGGCUCCUGGGGGUCGUAGCUUUGCUCAGGAUUGGGGCCGGUUAGGCAGCUGCUGGGAGGAGUGGCGGUGCUGGGAGGGCACGGUGCGGAGCUGUCCUGCUGUGCAGCGCAAGGGAAAGUCGACCAGCACCGUUGCUGUCCGAGGACCCUGGAACAGCCCGAGAGACCCUGGAACAGCCACCCCACGGACACCGUGUCACUGCCUCGCAAGGCCACCGCAUGCAGGGUAGCCCACCGAAGGGGGACAUCUCGAAGAGAAGCAGCAAGACCUGGGGAUCCGGUGGUUCAUUUUGGUCGUCGCCUGUGAGGCCAGCAUGCAAGAGUAAGAGGAAGCUAGGAGCAGUCUCAAAAAGAUAUGGAACCGAGGACAGCAAAUGCUGACGAAGGAGAAGAGACGGACG